CCUACGGGUGGCAGCAGUGGGGAAUAUUGCACAAUGGGGGAAACCCUGAUGCAGCAACGCCGCGUGAAGGAAGACGGUUUUCGGAUUGCAAACUUCUAUCAAUAGGGAAGAAAGAAAUGACGGUACCUAAAUAAGAAGCCCCGGCUAACUACGUGCCAGCAGCCGCGGUAAUACGUAGGGGGCAAGCGUUAUCCGGAAUUACUGGGUGUAAAGGGAGAGUAGGCGGCAAGGUAAGCGAUAUGUGAAAGCCUUAAGCUUAACUUAAGGAUGGCAUAACGAACUAUCUAGCUAGAGUACAGGGGAGGAAAGCGGGAUUGCUAGUGUAGCGGUGAAAUGCGUAGAUAUUAGGAAGAACACCAGUGGCGGAGGCGGCUUUCUGGACUGAAACUGACGCUGAGGCUCGAAAGCGUGGGGAGCGAACAGGAUUAGAUACCCUUGUAGUC
RNAcentral lists this ribosomal RNA (443 nucleotides) under uncultured bacterium. RNAcentral's name for it is "partial 16S ribosomal RNA". It matches the Rfam family "Bacterial small subunit ribosomal RNA", at positions 338 to 795 of the family's 1533-position model. The record is from RNAcentral.